This 620-nucleotide ribosomal RNA is filed under the name Heteronyx sp. BMNH 670839. RNAcentral's name for it is "partial 16S large subunit ribosomal RNA". It matches the Rfam family "Bacterial large subunit ribosomal RNA", at positions 1844 to 2739 of the family's 2925-position model. Lineage: Eukaryota; Metazoa; Arthropoda; Insecta; Coleoptera; Scarabaeidae. The record is from RNAcentral.
UUUAAAGUCUGACCUGCCCACUGAGUUUUUAAAUGGCCGCGGUAUUUUGACCGUGCAAAGGUAGCAUAAUAAUUAGUUUUUUAAUUGAAAGCUGGAAUGAAUGGUCGGACGAGAAAAUUACUGUCUUAAUUUGAAUUUAUUUUGGAAUUUUAUUUUUAAGUAAAAAAGCUUAAUUGUUAUUAAAAGACGAGAAGACCCUAUAGAGUUUUAUAUUUGUUAUUAUUAUGGUUAUUAGGAAUUAUUAUUAUUUAUGAUAAUAAUAAUUAUUUUGUUGGGGUGACAGAAAAAUUUGAUAAACUUUUUUUAUUUUAAUUCAUUAAUGAAUGUUUAGAUGAUCCAUAUUUUAUGAUUAGAAGAUUAAAUUACCUUAGGGAUAACAGCGUAAUUAUUUUUAAGAGUUCUUAUCGAAAGAAUAGUUUGCGACCUCGAUGUUGGAUUAAAGUUGACUUUUGGUGUAGGAGCUAAUAAUGUUAGGUCUGUUCGACCUUUAAAACUUUACAUGAUCUGAGUUUAAACCGGCGUGAGCCAGGUUGGUUUCUAUCUUUAAUUUAUGAUAAUACUUUAGUACGAAAGGACCAAGUAUUGAUAAUAUUUAUUUUGAAGGAUAAUUAAUAAUUAUG